UACGAAGGGUGCAAACGUUGCUCGGAAUUAUUGGGCGUAAAGCGCACGUAGGCGGCUUAGCAAGUCGGAAGUGAAAGCCCUCGGCUCAACCAAGGAAGUGCUUUCGAAACUGCUGAGCUUGAGUAGUUAAGAGGAUCGCGGAAUUCCCGGUGUAGAGGUGAAAUUCGUAGAUAUCGGGAGGAACACCAGUGGCGAAGGCGGUUCUCUGGGCAUGUCCUGACGCUGAGGAGCGAAAGUGUGGGGAGCGAACAGG
RNAcentral lists this ribosomal RNA (253 nucleotides) under uncultured bacterium. RNAcentral describes it as "partial 16S ribosomal RNA". It matches the Rfam family "Bacterial small subunit ribosomal RNA", at positions 524 to 776 of the family's 1533-position model. The record is from RNAcentral.